Molecule: ribosomal RNA, 491 nt
Filed under: uncultured bacterium
Lineage: Bacteria
Description: partial 16S ribosomal RNA
Rfam family: Bacterial small subunit ribosomal RNA
Source: RNAcentral
AGUGAACGCUGGCGGUAGGCCUAACACAUGCAAGUCGAACGGCAGCACAGUAAGAGCUUGCUCUUACGGGUGGCGAGUGGCGGACGGGUGAGGAAUACAUCGGAAUCUACUUUUUCGUGGGGGAUAACGUAGGGAAACUUACGCUAAUACCGCAUACGACCUACGGGUGAAAGCAGGGGAUCUUCGGACCUUGCGCGAUUGAAUGAGCCGAUGUCGGAUUAGCUAGUUGGCGGGGUAAAGGCCCACCAAGGCGACGAUCCGUAGCUGGUCUGAGAGGAUGAUAGGCCACACUGGAACUGGGAAAGGGUCAAGACUCUUAGGGGAGGAAGAAGUGGGAAAUAUUGGACAUGGGCGCAAGCCUGAUCCAGCCAUACCGCGUGGGUGAAGAAGGCCUUCGGGUUGUAAAGCCCUUUUGUUGGGAAAGAAAGGCAGCAGGUUAAUACCCCGCUGUUCUGACGGUACCCAAAGAAUAAGCACCGGCUAACUUCGUG